RNAcentral lists this small nucleolar RNA (89 nucleotides) under Coccidioides posadasii str. Silveira. Its description in RNAcentral is "Small nucleolar RNA snR73". It matches the Rfam family "Small nucleolar RNA snR73". The record is from Rfam by way of RNAcentral. Lineage: Eukaryota; Fungi; Ascomycota; Eurotiomycetes; Onygenales; Onygenaceae.
UCCUAUGAUGAUUUUAUUUUUUUUAUCACGACGGUCAACAUAGCUUUUGCAUUGAUGACCACAGCCUGUGACAGGGCAUUUAUCUGAUA